Molecule: transfer RNA, 74 nt
Filed under: Pteropus alecto (black flying fox)
Lineage: Eukaryota; Metazoa; Chordata; Mammalia; Chiroptera; Pteropodidae
Rfam family: tRNA
About the family: Transfer RNA (tRNA) molecules are approximately 80 nucleotides in length. Their secondary structure includes four short double-helical elements and three loops (D, anti-codon, and T loops).
Source: Rfam by way of RNAcentral
GGCUCCAUAGUGUAGUGGUUAGCCCGUCUGUUUUACAUGCAGAAGGUCCUGGGUUUGCACCCCAGGUGGAGCUA